This 15130-nucleotide long non-coding RNA is filed under the name Manihot esculenta (cassava). RNAcentral describes it as "long non-coding RNA (MESC_LNC011553)". The record is from RNAcentral. Lineage: Eukaryota; Viridiplantae; Streptophyta; Magnoliopsida; Malpighiales; Euphorbiaceae.
GUAAAUCAUAAUCUCGCCUAAUUAAUACUAAUCAUGGGAUAAUGGACAAUUAUCAUCACCAAUAAAUGUGAUUAUUGACUAACAAACUAAAAUACUAUGCAAUUGACUCGAUCAAUCUUUAACUACCAUAACGGACUCCUAAAUCUUAAGAACAAUCUUUGACCAGAGUUUUGAAGCAUAUUAUUCAACAUACUCCUUUGCUUCAAAACUACAAACAACAAGUCUCUGUCGAAAAUAAAUAAGCUUGUCAAUGGGAAGAGCCUUAGUAAGAACAUCAGUAACUUGGCUAUUUAUUAGAUAGAAUUUCAACUCAAUUUCUUGCUUUGUAGUCGGGCUGCGAAUGUAGUGAUAGCGAAUAUCAAUGUGCUUUGUCCUACUGUGAAAAGCUGGAUUUAUUGUCAUUGCAAUUGUGGCCUUGUUGUCACAGAAUAUUGUUGUGGCUCCCUUUUCCUCUUGAUGAACAUCUACCAGCAAUCUUCAUAACCAAACUGCUUGACAUGCUGCAGAUAUCACAACAACAUACUCUGCUUUCGAUGAUGACAGUGCCACCACAUCUUGCUUCUUUGAACUCCAAGAUAUUGCACCUGACCCCAAAUUAAAAACAUGACUUGAAGUACUUUUCCUAUCAUCUAUACAGCCAGCUCAAUCGCUGUCACUAUACCCAAGUAGACUGACAUUUCCAUUCUUUGAGUACCAUAUGCCAAAAUCUUCAGUUUCGACAAUGUUGUAUCAUAGUACCCUUUCUGCUGCUCCAAGAUGUUGUCUUGUGGGAGAGUGCAUGUACCUUGAUAGCACACUCACCAAGUACAUGAUGUCUGGCCGAGUAUGAGUUAAAUAAUUCAAUCUGCCAAUUAAGCUUCCGUAAUAACUUGGAUCAACAGCACCUGUACCAUCCUCAAGCUGUAACUUCUCAUUAACAUUCAUUGGUGUAGCUGCUUCUUUACAGUUGUGCAUAUAAAAUCUGUAUAGAAUAUUUUUUGCAUACUUUCUCUGUGAAAGAAAUAUGCCAUCUUCCACUUGAUUUACUUCAAGUCCAAGAAAAUAUUGCAACUUUCCUAAAUCUGACAUUUCAAACUCCCCCAUCAUGCAUGAUUUGAACUCAGCAAUUAAAGUUUCAGAAGACCCCAAAUAAAUCAUGUCAUCUACAUAAAUACAGACAACUACAAAAUCACCAUUAUCAUGCUUUUUCACAUACAAAGUUGGCUCAUUUCAUUCUUUACAAAAUCAAUUUUUAGAAAAUAUGAGUCAAUCCUUUUAUACCAUGCCCUUGGUGCUUGUUUCAAUCCAUAAAGUGCUUUCUUAAGUAUAUAGACUUUGCUUUCUUGACCACUAACUACAAACCCCUCAGGUUAUGUCAUAUAAAUCUCUUCUUCCGACUCUCCAUUCAAAAAUGCAUAUUUAACAUCAAAUUGAUAAAUAGUCAAAUUCAAUUUAGCACCCAAAGAUAAAUGCACUGUCACUGUUUCAAAACGAGUAAUAGGAGAAAAAGUUUCAUUAAAGUCAACACCUUGAUGUUGUUGAUAGCGGUUGUCGAAACCGUAAAAAAUAAACCUAUUAAACAAUCAACAAUUAAUUUGCAGAUAGUGACAAUAGGGUCGAACCACAGGGAAUUGACACCGAAUAUUUUCCUAAUAAUGACUAAGGUAAAUAAAUAACAAAUAAUUAAAAGAGGGGGGUUUUGAUGAUAAUGAAUUAAAAUUAAAUAGCAAAAGAAAGCAAUAAUUUAAAUAGAUGAGAAGUUCAAUGGGAAAGAGAUUCUAGUUGAAGUAUGAGUCUAUUUCAGCUUGUUUAGAAUUGAUCAUUGAUUAUUUAAGACUCAUAUUUUAUUUCAAUAAAUUAUUUUUGGUUGUGGAAGACGCUUCUCACAACCAAAUUCCUCCUUAGUUCUAGUUUGAUUAGGAAACGUUCGCUAAUCAAACACUAAUCAACAAGUUGCCAAGGAACGUCCUUGGGGCAUUUAGCAUCGAACAACUGUUGACUGCAUUAAGACUUAGAGAAACCCAAUUCUAUCCUUGCCAACCGCGUGGUCAAGUCUAGAUUAUGCAACUGAUUAUAUUUAUGUUCAAAUAAUAUAAGCAGUUACGGACUUAAAUCAUUCAAACAAUUUAUUACUUAAGCAAUUUAAAAGCAAUGGGCCCUUAUUGAUUCUAAAAGCAAAGUAACAAUUAUAGAAAAAAUCAAGUUGCAUAAAUAUUGAAAGCAAAAUAAGAGUUUAACAAUGGAGUUUUAAAUCUCCCAAUUCAUCACAAAUCUGAAUUUCCUCAACUUCAACUAAAAAAGAAGGAAAUUAGCCACUCAUGGUGGGCAAAAUACACAAAAGAAAGAAGAGAGGAAGAGAAGAAGAGACUGCUGCAAUUCUCCUGCUGAAUUCUGUAGAUUUCCAAAGGUGGGAGAGGAUGCCUUUGCUGGUUUGGAGGCUGCCUUCUUAUAGCUGGAGAGUCCAAGUUCAAUUAAGGUUUGGAAUCCCUAUUUUGACUUGGUCUUUGUGGUCUUUGAUUCCUCUUUCUCUUCUUGUAUUUUGUUGUAGAUGGAAUUCUCUUGGUAGAAGGACAUCCUUGUGGCUUUUGGAUUUGAGCUGGCAGUGUUUGAAGUGUUUUUGGGCUUCUAUUCUUUUUAAAUCUGAUUUUUUUUCUUUUUCCCGCUCUGCUGUCAAUUUUUGUUGUCAAUGUGAUUGGGACGAGUGAUUUGGGCAAAUCACUUGCCCCAAUCGCUUUCUGUGAGUCAGUCCAGUUUUUCUAUCUCUGCAAGUGAUUUGGCCAGUCUCUGCGAGUGAUUUGGCCAAAUCACUCUGACCCAAUCACUUUUCCAGCCUUUUCUGCACUUUUUCUCCAAUUUUUCAAUUUCUUCCUUUUCUGUAAAAAUAAGAUAAAAAACCAUAAAUUAAGCUGAAAAAUGUGUAAAUAAGCAAUGACAAAGAUAAUAAAAAUGUGGCUAAUUUAUGUUUGAUCAAAUACCCCCACACCUAGCUUUUUGCUUGUCCUCAAGCAACAAACAACUUAGUCAAUCAAGCCCCUUUUUCUUUUGAGCCUAAGUACCACUUAAUCAGCCCCCCUAUACUCCUAAAUUGAAGUAUUACAGUGUAGAGUACAUGCACCAAGGUUGUUCUUCUCUUUUCCUUGAUUCCCCUCACCUACUAUGGUCAAGGGAAAGAUUUUUGAUUCAAUCAUGCUUAUUCUCUUUGUAUAAGCUCAAUGCAACCUCUAAGAGUGACUUGCCCUUCCUUGAGCAUUUUAUUUUAUUCAGCAGAACUUUUUUAUUCUUACCUGAAAAAGUCACUAACAUUUUUACGCGAAGGUGCAUAUUGGUGAUACCCACCCCCGAUUACUCAGUUAGUCACUUGUUCAAGUGGCUACUAGCUCUGUUCAUAGCUUAUUUGACCAUAAGAAUAGGUUUUAUGAUUUGUGCUGGUUUUUUCUUUUUCUUUUCUUUUCAUAAUGGUUUGGGCAAAUCAACUCAUAGGGAGUUACACUAACUUUUUAUUUGCAUGCAUUUAUAUUUUUAUUUCCUUGACCACAGCAAAUUUAGAGAUUUAAUUCAAGAAAAGAACUUCCUAAGUGAAGGUAGCAUACUGUAAUUGAUUCAAUUUAGACUUAAAGGGGUGGAAAAUCAAUGGGGUCAUGAGAUAGGAAGCUCUUUUAACCUUGUUAUCUAUGCUGAGUAGAGCAAAAGCUAAGACAAAAUUCUGUGUGUGUGCAGAAAGUGAAAAAUGUGUGCAAAGGGAAAAAAAAUCUAGUGUGUGUUAUAGGGUAAAAAGAUGCAAAAAGACACAAAAAGAAACAAAAAGAAAGCGAAAGAUAUUGCAAAAAUAAGCAAAAGUAAUCCAACAGUACCCCCACACCUAUCCCAAAUAUUGUCCUCAAUGUUUGAACAUAUAUAUAGAAAAAUUAAGGAGGAAAGGGAAAGGGACUUCCUGGCCUGUGGGUGAUUUGGCCAGGUGAUUUGGGCAAAUCACUAGGCCAAAUCACUGUCUCUGCUGAUCUGUGGGCAGGAAAUGAUCUACCAGUAGUUGCAACAGGAGCUCCAUGUUGUGCAUUCUGGUCUCAAUUUUGCUGAGACGUGCCUCUACUGUUUGGUUUAGGGCUGCGUCUUCAGGGUCUUGAUGUGCUUCCUGCUGUGGUGCCACAGCAGGUGAUUCAUUUGCUGGAGGUGCCUGCUCUGUUUCCCCUGCUGUCCCAUCUGCUGGGGCAGGCUGUGCCUUCUUCUUUCGGAAUACACGCUCAUGGCGUGGUGUGAGAGGUCCUGCAGGCGAAAGAGAAAAAAUGUCCCCCACUUUGCAAAGCAACCCUAUAUCAUCUAAAGAUCGAAGGUCCAGGGGGGUUGGCUUGUUAGUGGGGGUGAGAUCAGUAUGGGCAGGGUGUAAAAGUUUCAGGUUCACUGCAAUGGCAGUGAUCAAGUGCCCAAGGAUCAGGGGGCGGUGGUACUGGAUAAUGCUGGAUAUUUGGGUUGCAACCCAAUAACCAAAGUGUAGUUUCUGGUGGUGGUGCAUGCACCACAGUAUGUACAGCUCCGUUCUGGUCAGGAUGUUGGGUGCAUCCUUCCUCCCAGAAAAUAUGUAGGCCAGAAACCUGUGAAUGUAUUUCAGGCUUGGAUUUUUGAGAUACAGGUCCUUAGACCUGGUGGGUGAGUAAGAAUCAGGGGGGUUAUCACACAAUUCCAGAUAGGCAGUGCUGGGAUUGAAUUCUGCAGAAAAAUCCCAGGAAGAGUCAGGGCAUUCACAGCUCGUGGCAGUGCCAAACUCUUGUAGGGAUAAGCGAAAUCGCUAUCCCAAUAGCCUGAAUCCAAUGAUGUCUGGUGUGUGCAGGUUGUGCAUGGCUGGUUUAUCAAAAUAAAAAGUAGUGAAGAACUCAUGUGUGAGUUCAGUGAAGGAUGGAAAGUGGAGGAAGAAGAAUUUGUCCCAACCAAUGGCAGAGAUUAAGGUACGUACCUGGCGUUGGAGUCUCAGUUCUUCAAGAGUGCCAAGGUGAAUGUACUUACCUGUGUGGUAGGAUGUAGAGGAAACUCUGUCUAGCCUGGCCCUUUCGGACGCCUUGUUGAACGUCAGGGUCUGAGUGAUGUGAUCAGGGUGGGUCGGUUUGGGCAAAUCGCUAGGCAAUUCGCCAUUUUCUUGGCUUACAGGCGGUGUGGCACUGGGUGUCUCUUGUUGUCGCUCCGGGCUUGGUGAUGGUGGUGGUGAUGGUGUUCUUGGCCGUUUCUGGCCAUGACUGGUGGAAUAAGUUUCUUCUUCAGGCGUUUCGCCUUCCUGGGUGUCUGUCGCGACUGAUGGUGAGGAAGGUGGUGGUGCAAUCAACGACGCCUUGGUCCGACGGCGAUAGGUCUGGGGUGUUGGACUGACGGUGUUUCUUGCUUCGUCGGCCGCUUCAGUGUCGGCGUCGUUGGGGACGGGUGGUGGGUUUUCCAUUGCUUCUUCAUCGCUGUUAGUGGGAAUACGGAUGGGCCUAGGCAUCCCACGUCGCCUUCACAUUCCGAGGCCGCCGGUAACCAUCAUCUUGCUUCUUACCAUGGUGCUUUGCUGUCGCUGGUGGUCGUCGGUGAGGGAAGACUUGAAAGAGAAGGAGGAGAUGAAACAGAAAGAGAUAGCAUGAAAAGGAAGAAAAUAAAAUAAAAAUUAUUUAAAGUGAUUUGGGGUAGUUGAACUGCCCUGAUCAUUAAAUGCUGAGUCUCUGAUUUCUUGACAGGGUGAUUUGGUCAGUGAUUUGGGCAAAUCACUUGGCCAAAUCACUUUCUUCCUUGCUGUUGCAUGGCUGGUACUGUUCACACCUUUUGCUAUUGGUAGGCGGAGUUGUUGAUUGGGCCUGACGAUUUGGUCAAAUCACCUGGGCAAAUCACUUCUUUGGUGCAACUGCCUGGUUUGAUCUUGUUCUUACUGGGGUGAACCCUGUCGAUUUGGGUUGUCGAUUUGGGCAAAUCACUUGCCCCAAUUACUUGUGACUAUGGUGUAUGCAGGCAAUUUGCCCCAGACUGGGCUGUGAUUUGGGCAGAUCGCUUCAGCUGGGUUGCCUCCCAGUAACGCCCUGUUUUCUGUCUUGGGCUGGACUUCCUUGAGUUGAUCAGCAGUCUAGGGAAGGGGGAUCCAAGGGGAUCUCUUUCACAAGAUGAACAGUAAAUCCUUCAUAAAAUUUCUUUAAACAAUGUCCAUUAACUUUGAAAAUUUUGCUUGUUUGUGGACUCCAUAUGUCAACAGCCCCAUGUGGAUAGACAUGCUCAACCACAAAUGGCCCAAUCCACCUAGACCGAAGCUUCCCAGGAAAUAAUUUGAACCUUGAAUCAAAAAGCAAAACCUUAUCACCAACCUGGAAGUGUUUUCUGGAGAUAUUUUUGUCAUGGAAGGCUUUGGUUUUUGCUUUGUAAUUCCAUGAAGCUUCAUAUGCAUCACGCCGGAUCUCCUCAAGGCAAUUUUCUGUUGGCUCCAGCUUCUUUCUCAUCAAGAUUGCAGCUCUUCACAGCCCAAUAGGCUUUGUGUUCAAGUUCUACAGGUAGAUGGCAAGCUUUCCCAUAAAUCAGCCUGUAUGGAGACAUCCUAAUUGGAGUUUUAUAUGCUGUUCUAUAUGCCCAUAAGGCAUCACUGAGGCGCACACUCCAGUCUUUGUGAUUUGGGCAGACUGUUUUCUCCAAGAUGGACUUGAUCUCCCUAUUUGACACUUCGGCCAGCCCAUUUAUUUGAGGAUGAUAGGCAGUAGAGGUUCUGUGGAUGACAUGGUGCUUCUUGAGGAGAGUUUCUACUACCUUGUUGCAAAAAUGGGUGCCUCAGUCACUGAUAAUGGCUUUGGGCAGACCGAAUCUUGAGAAUAUUUGGGAUUUCACAAAGUCACAAACUGUUUUUGCAUCAUCAGCCCUUGUUGCCUUGGCCUCAAUCCACUUGGACACAUAGUCCACGGCUAGAAGUAUGUAGGUGUUGCCAAAGGAAGGUGGGAAUGGCCCCAUGAAGUCAAUGCCCCAAAUAUCAAAGAUUUCACACACCAUGAUGGGUGCUUGUGGCAUUUCACUUCGGUUGCCAAGGUUUCCCGUUUGUUGGCAUCUUGCACAUGACCUACAAAAUAAAUAGGAAUUUCUAAAUAUGUUAGGCCAAAAUAACCCACUUUCAAGAAUUUUCAAGGUUGUCUUGCGUGGCCCAAAGUGUCCUCCACAGCCAUAUGAGUGGCAGAAGGCUAGGACAGAAUGUGUUUCUUGAUCCGGGAUGCAUCUCCUUAUGACUUGGUCUGCACAAUGCUUCCAUAGGUAAGGCUCAUCCUACACAUAAUACCUUGCAUCUUUCUUGAUCUUGUCUCUCAAGUGUUUGGGCAAAUCAGUAGGCAAAUCACCUGUGGCAAGGAAAUUAACAAUAUCAGCAUACCAUGGUUCCUCUUCUUGGACAGCAAAGAAGUGCUCAUCAGGGAAUUUUUCAUUGAUGGGGCAUGUCUCCAUCUCGGUCAGAAUUCUGCUGAGGUGAUCAGCUACAAGGUUCUCCUUUCCCUUCUUGUCAUGGAUCUCUAAGUCGAACUCUUGCAACAGCAAUAUCCAUCAUACCAGCCUUGGUUUGGACUCCUUUUUUCUUGAUUAAAUAUCUCAAUGCAGCAUGGUCUGAAUAAAUAAUCACCUUUGUCCCAAGUAGAUAGAACCAAAAUUUCUCCAAUGAAAACACAACAGCCAGCAAUUCUUUUUUCGUGGUUGAAUAAUUGCAUUGUGCAGCAUCUAGGGUGCGUGAGGCAUAGUGAACGACAUGAGGAGAGUUACCUUUUCGCUGUCCCAACACUGCACCCACAGCAAAAUUGUUGGCGUCACACAUGAUCUCAAAUGGCAAGGUCCAAUCAGGUGGCUGGAUGACUGGGGCAGUAACCAGCAGUGAUUUGACUAAAUCAAAAGCUGUUUUGCAGCUGUCAUCAAACUCGAAUGACACAUCCUGCUGUAAUAAUCUGCAUAAAGGCUGGGUUAUUUUGGAGAAAUCUUUAAUAAACCUCCUAUAAAAACUAGCAUGGCCAAGAAAAGAUCUAAUCUCCCUAAUGCUGGUUGGAUAGGGCAGAUUUUUGAUGGUGUCAAUUUUAGCUUUGUCCACCUCAAUCCCUUUUGCUGAAACAAUAUGGCCCAAGAUUAAGCCAUGGCUGACCAUGAAGUGGCAUUUCUCGUAGUUGAGAACUAGAUUUGACUCCAAGCAUUUUUGAAGUAUUUUUUUCAAGUUGGCUAGGCAUUCAUUGAAUGAGUUGCCAUAUACCGUGAAAUCGUCCAUGAAGACUUCAAUAAUCUUCUUCACAUAGUCAGAAAAAAUGCUCAUCAUGCACCUUUGGAAGGUAGCUGGUGCAUUGCAAAGACCGAAGGGCAUCCUUCUAAAUGCGAAGGUGCUAAAUGGGCAUGUGAAAGUGGUCUUCUCUUAAUCUUCAGGUGCAACGGGAAUUUGGUAGAAUCCCGAAUAUCCAUCUAGGAGGCAGUAAUGGCUCUUUCCAGCAAGUCUCUCAAGCAUUUGAUCCAUGAAGGGCAAGGGAAAGUGGUCCUUCCUUGUGGCUGUGUUGAGCUUCCUGUAAUCCAUGCAAACUCUCCACCCAUUUUGUACACGAGUGGAUACCAACUCACCUUCAGAAUUAGGGACAAUGGUAAUCCCAGUCUUCUUUGAUACCACAUGGAUGGGACUCACCCAUUUACUGUCAGAGAUGGGGUAAAUGACUCUAGUGUCUAAGAGUUUCACAAUUUCUUUCUUCACAACCUCCAUCAUUGGUGGGUUCAGCCUUCUUUGAGCCUCACGAACAGGUUUGCACUCAUCCUCCAUGAGUAUCCGAUGCAUGCAUGUUGAGGGUGAUAUGCCUUUGAUGUCCUCCAAGGUCCACCCAAUUGCCUUCUUGUGUUUUCUCAACACCUCAAGGAGCUUUUCUUCUUCUUUUGGGCUGAGCUGGUUGGAAAUUAUAACUGUAAGUGUAUUUUCAGCUCCCAAGAAGGCAUAUUUGAGGUGUUCUGGUAAGGGCUUCAAAUCUGGUGCAUUUGCUGUCUUAUCUGCAGAUUGUUGCUGGUUUGCUGAUUUGGGCAGAUUGCUUGCUGUCUGUUUGGGUGGUCUGGCCAAAUCACCUUCUGUCAUGUCUGUCUGUCGUAGUGAUUUGGGCAAAUCAUCCGUUAUUGAUUCUGGUGAUGUGGUCAAAUUUAGCUCGGCCUUGUCUGUCUAUUCCAGUGAUUUGGCCAAAUCAGAUUCUGUUUGUCUAGGUGAUUUGGGCAGAUCAUCUGCCACCAGCAAUGUACAACAGUCUGCUGUCUCCACUGCUUCUGUCAUGGCAUAGCUGCUGUCCACUUCUUCUUUCCUGCAAAGACCAGCAUAGAGUAAGUUUUCUUGAUCAAAAUCAAAAAUUUCUUGACUCAAAUCAUCAAUAAUAUCAAGGCCAUAAACAGGGGAAACAUCAUUGGGGAAUUUCAUGGCAUCAUAAACAUUAAACUUGAUAACUUCCCCUUCAAACUCCAUGGUUAAUGUGCCAUCAUGCACAUCAAUUUUUGUUCUAGCUGCGCUCAAGAAUGGUCUUCCAAGUAGGAUGUCAGAGGUGGUGUUGCUCUUUUCUUCCUCCAUGUCUAUUACAUAAAAAUCUGCUGGGAAGACUAGUUGGUCCACUUGCACCAACACAUCCUCAAGCACUCCCUUGGGGUAGACAACUGAUCGAUCAGCCAAUUGGAUCACAAUGCUGGUGCCCUUGAGUGUACCUUUUCACGUUCAGCAAGUUUCCUUCGGUUGGUGCAUAGCUCUUUGAGAAACUUGGCAUACCUUGGAAUUUGCUUUACAGUAUCAAGUAGGGGAAUGUUGAUUUCUACCUUGCGAAGUGUCUCCAAUAUCUCUUUUUCCUCUUUUUCUUUUUGAGAUCUUGCAAAUCUUUUGGGAAAGGGAGGAGGUACCUUGAAUUUCUCCACUGGUUGUUGUUUCUGCCUUUGACUGAAUUCUGCCUGUUCUGUUGAUUUGAGCAAAUCAAAUUCUGCCUUCUCUGGCGAUUUGGGCAGAUCACUGCUGGGCAGCUCAGUCUGCCUAGUGAUUGGGUCAGUGAUUUGGGCAGAUCAACUGCCCUGAUCACUUUCUGGCAGAUUUUCUUCCAUGGCCUGUUUUUGCAACUUUUCAGCCCUACUGUCUUGCAACUCUUUUUCACUGCUCAAUGUGAUGGCACUAGCAUUUUGCCUUGGAUUUAUCUCAGUUUUGGAUGGUAGCUUCCCUUGUGACUCCAAUUUGCUCAUUGAAGUGACCAUUUGGCUCACUUGUUGCUAAAGAUUUUGCACGGUAUUUGCUAAGGUCUUCACAAUCUCUUCAAGGGGUGCAUUGGACUUUUAAGGUGCAGCUUGAGUUUGAUUCCUCUGCUGGUGGUUUGGAUAUUGAUUGCCCCUUGCAUAACUGAAAUUUGGAUGGUCCCUCCAACCUUGAUUAUAGGUGUUUGUAUAGGGAUCAUAUCUUCUUUGCCCAUUGAAGCCUCCAACAGCAUUGACUUGCUGGUCUUCUUCUUGAAGGGAUGGACAUAGAUCAGUUGGGUGGUUUGUGUUUGCACAUAUCCCACAUGGCCUUGGUUGCUGAAUUUGCAGAUAGCGGUUGUCGAAGCCGUAAAAAAUAAACCUAUUAAACAAUCAACAAUUAACUUGCAGAUAGUGGCAAUAGGGUCGAACCACAGGGAAUUGACACCGAAUAUUUUCCUAAUAAUGACUAAGGCAAAUAAAUAACAAAUAAUUAAAAAAGGGGGGUUUUGAUGAUAAUGAAUUAAAAUUAAAUAGCAAAAGAAAGCAAUAAUUUAAAUAGAUGAGAAGUUCAAUGGGAAAGAGAUUCUAGUUGAAGUAUGAGUCUAUUUCAGCUUGUUUAGAAUUGAUCAUUGAUUAUUUAAGACUCCUAUUUUAUUUCAAUAAAUUAGUCUUGGUUGUGGAAGACGCUUCUCACAACCAAUUCCUCCUUAGUUCUAGUUUGAUUAGGAAACGUUCGCUAAUCAAACACUAAUCAAUAAGUUGCCAAGGAACGUCCUUGGGGCAUUUAGCAUCGAACAACUGUUGACUGCAUUAAGACUUAGAGAAACCCAAUUCUAUCUUUGCCAACCGCGUGGUCAAGUCUAGAUUAUGCAACUGAUUAUAUUUAUGUUCAAAUAAUAUAAGCAGUUACGGACUUAAAUUAUUCAAACAAUUUAUUACUCAAGCAAUUUAAAAGCAAUGGGCCCUUAUUGAUUCUAAAAGCAAAGUAACAAUUAUAGAAAAAAUCAAGUUGCAUAAAUAUUGAAAGCAAAAUAAGAGUUUAACAAUGGAGUUUUAAAUCUCCCAAUUCAUCACAAAUCUGAAUUUCCUCAACUUCAACUAAAAAAGAAGGAAAUUAGCCACUCAUGGUGGGCAAAAUACACAAAAGAAAGAAGAGAGGAAGAGAAGAAGAGACUGCUGCAAUUCUCCUGCUGAAUUCUGUAGAUUUCCAAAGGUGGGAGAGGAUGCCUUUGCUGGUUUGGAGGCUGCCUUCUUAUAGCUGGAGAGUCCAAGUUCAAUUAAGGUUUGGAAUCCCUAUUUUGACUUGGUCUUUGUGGUCUUUGAUUCCUCUUUCUCUUCUUGUAUUUUGUUGUAGAUGGAAUUCUCUUGGUAGAAGGACAUCCUUGUGGCUUUUGGAUUUGAGCUGGCAGUGUUUGAAGUGUUUUUGGGCUUCUAUUCUUUUUAAAUCUGAUUUUUUUUCUUUUUCCCGCUCUGCUGUCAAUUUCUGUUGUCAAUGUGAUUGGGACGGGUGAUUUGGGCAAAUCACUUGCCCCAAUCGCUUUCUGUGAGUCAGUCCAGUUUUUCUAUCACUGCAAGUGAUUUGGCCAGUCUCUGCGAGUGAUUUGGCCAAAUCACUCUGACCCAAUCACUUUUCCAGCCUUUUCUGCACUUUUUCUCCAAUUUUUCAAUUUCUUCCUUUUCUGUAAAAAUAAGAUAAAAAACCAUAAAUUAAGCUGAAAAAUGUGUAAAUAAGCAAUGACAAAGAUAAUAAAAAUGUGGCUAAUUUAUAUUUGAUCAGUUGUGCAUACCCCUUAGCAACGAUUUGAACCUCUUGAUACUUCCAUCUGCAUGAUGCUUUACUUUGUCGACCCAUUUGAGUCCAAUAGGAGCCUUAUCCUCUAGGACAUCAACAAUUCCCAUAUGUUGUUGUGUUUGAUUGCCCUCAUCUCUUCCAUCAUUGUUGCUUCCCAUUCUUCACUAUCAGCUGCCUCAUCAAAACAUGUUAGUUCUGUCACAUACAAGGCAAAAGAGUAGGACUCAUAUACCUCCCUUAAAGACUUGAAUUUAUGAGGUGGUGGUGCUGAAGAAGAUCCUGAAUUUUGUGAAUUGCUGCUGCUACCAUCAGGUGUUGAUGAAGUACUUCUAGCUGGUGUAGCAGGUGAAGUAUUAUUCUCAUUUCCACCAUUUAUUGAAGUCUCUAGUGAUGAAUGUUCUUGUGCAAUUUUGUGGAAAAUUGUUUUUGGUGUGCCUUCUUUCUCCCAUGUCUAGCUUGCUUCUUCAUUGAAUAAAACAUUCCUGCUAAUAAUGACUUUGCCACUCACAGGGUUAUAUAGUUUAUAUGCUUUGAAUUGAACACUAUAAUCCACAAAUAUGCAUUUCACGAAUUUAUCAUCAAGCUUAGAGCGAGAAUUUACCAAAGUAUAUGCUAUACAACCAAAAACACGUAAAUGGCUUACCCUUAGUUGAUUACCUCUCCACACCGCAUAUGGAGUCUGAUUUAGGACAGCCUUUGUAGGAGAAAUAUUCAGAAAAUAUAUGCUGCCAUAGCCACAGCUUUAGCCCAGAACAACUUUGGAAGACCUCUUGAAUUCAACAUGCUUCUUGCCAUCUCAACAAUAGUACGAUUUUUCCUCUUUGCUAUGCCAUUUUGCUGAGGCGUGUCUGUGAAUGUCAUUUUUUUCACAAAGGUGUUAAACUCAUCUGAUACAAAUUCGCUUCCUCGAUCCGUACGAAGUGUUUUAAUUUGACACCCGCUUUGUUUCUCCACAAGUGACUUAAACUUCUUGAAACAAUCAAAAGCUUGGGAUUUAUUUUUUAAGAAAUAAACCCAAUUCAUUCGACUAUAAUCAUCAACAAAUAGCAGAAAAUAUCGACUUCCUCCUAGAGAUUCAGUUGACAUGGGACCACGUACAUCUGCAUGAACAAGCUCUAAACAAGUAGAAGCUCUCUAAGCAUUUGCAACAGGAAAAGAUGGUCUACUUUUUUUUCCAUAUACACACCCUUCACAGAAUUCAACAGCUUCAAUUUUUUAUAAGCCAACAAUCAUAUUUUUCUGACCUAACAAUUGUAGCCCUUUAACGUUCAAAUGACCAUACCGCAAAUGCCAAUACCGCAAAUGCCAUAAAUCAGCCUUUGUGCUACCUUUAACAGUUAGUGCACUACUAACAUCACCAUCAGACACAUUAAGGGGAAACAUUUUAUUUUGAGUCAUUUGGACUCCUACAAUUUUGUGGCUAGAUUUUUUUUAUCAUAAAUGUUGCAGCAAUCAUUCUCAAAUAAAAUAGAAUAUCCUCCCUUAAUUAAUUGACCAACACUCAAAAGGUUAUGAGCAAGAGAAGGUACAUACUGAACAUCUUGGAGGAGCUUCAUAUCAUCAUUUGAUGCCGGAAUUGCAAUGGUACCUCUGCCUUCAACUAUGAUUUGCUUAUCAUUUCCGAGCCAUACUUUUGACUUUUGUGACUCAUCAUGCUUCUUGAAAAGUGUUCUUGCUCCAGCCAUAUGGUUUGAACAGCCAUUGUUGAUGAACCACACAACAAUGUCCAUUGGAUCAAUUUUUGAAUGAGCCAUGAACAGCUUGCUUUCCUAUUGUGAAUUCUCAGUGAAAUUCGCUUGCUUUGAUUCAUCUCUCUUUACUCCAACAUUCUGAUUCUUUAUGCCCAUAUUUCUUGCAAUAAUAACACUGUAUAUUGCUUCUAGAUUGCCAACUGCUUCUAUUUUGACCUCGACCUGCAGAUUGACCACGACCUGUGGAUGAACCACGACUUUACUUCCUCCGCGGUCUCGUCCCCUGAAAUUGCCUCUGCCAUACCCUCUAUCUCUUGAUUUCUCAUGUUUCCCUUUAGAGGAAGACUCUCCUUUGACUUGAAGAGCGUUCUCUUUAAUUUUUUCAGAUGGCUUGUUCACCCGUUCUCAAUGUGCGAUCAAGGAACUCAUCAACUCAUCAAAUGUAUAAGUUGAUAAAUCCUUAGAUUAUUCAAUAGCAGUGACAAUAUGGAUGAAUUUGUUGGUAAGACUUCAUAGAACCUUAUUAACGAUUGUUUUAUUAGUGACGACUUCACCAUGUGUUCUUAUAUGACUGACAAUCCCAGAGACCUUUGAUAAGAACCCUUGUAUAGAUUCAUCAUCCUUCAUAGCCAAAUUAGCAAAUUCAGUACGGAGUGUUUAAAGCUUUACAGCAAUUACCUUUUUGUCGCAGAAAAAUUCAGUCUUGAGAAUAUUCCAGGCUUGCUGAGAGGUAGAUGCUGCUGCAAUCCGUGGAAAACCGAUUGGAUGAACAACAAAGCCUUUGAGUUUUUCUUUCGAUUCUCCCGCAAUCUUUAACUGGGUUCCACCAGAAACUUCUACUGGUUCCACAUACCCAUUCUCCAUGAUGUCCUAUAGUUCUUGAGACUUGAACAAAGUUUUCAUUUUCAAACUCUAUAAGUGAUAAUUUUCUUCUUUAAACAAAGGAAUUAAAUGUUAGGAUGAGAUACUUACUCCAUUGUUGGCCAUGAGUAUUUUGUUAACUUUCCCAAAAAUCUAAUUUUUCUAAAGACCUAAUUUUGGCUCUGAUAUCAAUUUUGUUAGAGAAAAACAAAAUAACAAAGAAAAAGAAUUGAGGUAAUACUUGUUUAUUGAUUUGCUGCCAUGGACAAAUACAUCAUGCCUUUUUAUAGGUUGAAGACGAAAACCAAAUUAAGUAAAUUAUAAUCUCGCCUAAUUAACACCAUAACCAUAGGAUAAUGGAUAAUUAUCAUCACAAUAAAUGUGAUUAUUAAAUAACAAACUGAAAUAAUAUACAAUUGACUAAAUCAAUCUUUGAAUACCAUAAAUGACUCCUAAAUCUUAGGAACUAUCUUUGACCAGUUUUGAAGCAUAUUAUUCAAAAGUGGCUGAUCUGCAAGGCACUCACAACUUGAAAUAUAUUGGAGGCUACAUGUUCGAUGAAAUUCCUUCCGAUGCAAUUUUACUCGAGGUAACCUAACCCCUCUCUUUUCAUUGAUGUUGGAGGGAUAGC